GUGCCAGCCGCCGCGGUAAGACGAACCGUGCGAACGUUGUUCGGAAUCACUGGGCUUAAAGGGCGCGUAGGCGGGCGGUCAAGUCAGAGGUGAAAUCCCACGGCUCAACCGUGGAAGCGCCCCUGAUACUGAUCGUCUCGAGGGAGGUAGGGGCGUGCGGAACUUCCGGUGGAGCGGUGAAAUGCGUAGAUAUCGGAAGGAACACCGGUGGCGAAAGCGGCGCGCUGGACCUUUUCUGACGCUGAGGCGCGAAAGCCAGGGGAGCAAACGGGAUUAGAUACCCCAGUAGUCC
RNAcentral lists this ribosomal RNA (292 nucleotides) under uncultured bacterium. RNAcentral's name for it is "partial 16S ribosomal RNA". It matches the Rfam family "Bacterial small subunit ribosomal RNA", at positions 505 to 796 of the family's 1533-position model. The record is from RNAcentral.